GUGAAUCAUCGAAUUUUUGAACGCAAAUUGCACUCUCUGGCAUUCCGGAGAGUAUGCCUGUUUGAGGGUCAGUUUAAAUAUAAAUCGAGGUUUUGCUGUUUUUUGACGCAUCAGAAUUGUCUUAUCUUUUACCUUUUAUUCCGUUUAAGUUACCUAAAAUUGAUACCUUUUGCAUUUCAGACUUACAUAAGCAUAUUUUUUUAUCCUUCCGGAUUUGCCAAUUUUUUAUUUGGUAUGAUCAUGCUGUUUUUGUCCGCUUUCCUAUAAUAUUCGCA
RNAcentral lists this unclassified non-coding RNA (275 nucleotides) under Glomeraceae sp. RNAcentral describes it as "partial contains 5.8S ribosomal RNA and internal transcribed spacer 2". The stretch from base 1 to 71 matches the Rfam family "5.8S ribosomal RNA", at positions 84 to 154 of the family's 154-position model. The record is from RNAcentral. Lineage: Eukaryota; Fungi; Glomeromycota; Glomeromycetes; Glomerales; Glomeraceae.